RNAcentral lists this ribosomal RNA (491 nucleotides) under uncultured bacterium. RNAcentral describes it as "partial 16S ribosomal RNA". It matches the Rfam family "Bacterial small subunit ribosomal RNA", at positions 29 to 506 of the family's 1533-position model. The record is from RNAcentral.
AGUGAACGCUGGCGGUAGGCCUAACACAUGCAAGUCGAACGGCAGCACAGUAAGAGCUUGCUCUUACGGGUGGCGAGUGGCGGACGGGUGAGGAAUACAUCGGAAUCUACUUUUUCGUGGGGGAUAACGUAGGGAAACUUACGCUAAUACCGCAUACGACCUACGGGUGAAAGCAGGGGAUCUUCGGACCUUGCGCGAUUGAAUGAGCCGAUGUCGGAUUAGCUGGUUGGCGGGGUAAAGGCCCACCAAGGCGACGAUCCGUGGCUGGUCUGAGAGGAUGAUCAGCCCCACUGGAACUGGGACCCGGUCCAGACUCCUACGGGAGGCAGCAGUGGGGAAUAUUGGACAAUGGGCGCAAGCCUGAUCCAGCCAUACCGCGUGGGUGAAGAAGGCCUUCGGGUUGUAAAGCCCUUUUGUUGGGAAAGAAAAGCAGCAGGUUAAUACCCCGCUGUUCUGACGGUACCCAAAGAAUAAGCACCGGCUAACUUCGU